This is a long non-coding RNA of Dioscorea cayenensis subsp. rotundata (Guinea yam), 1130 nucleotides long. RefSeq lists it as uncharacterized. The transcript has 3 exons. The record is from RefSeq and is a predicted model, not a curated record. Lineage: Eukaryota; Viridiplantae; Streptophyta; Magnoliopsida; Dioscoreales; Dioscoreaceae.
GUUGUCCUCACAAAGACACAGCAGCUUCCCCUGCAUUUCUUAUAUCCAAUAUCAGGAUUGUUAUGGAGAUGGAUUUGGAUUGCCCUGGGACAUGUUUUCAACUGUGAAAAAUCUACAUAUAACCUGUUCUCAAGGGCUCUAUCACCAUUUUUCAAGAAGCUUGAUUCUUCUUAGGCAAUUGACUAUUCAUUCUGAAACAAUGGUAUCAUUCAUUGGAGAAAUGAGCACUUUCAAGACAUUGUCUCACCUAUUCAUCAGUCGCUGUCAGGAGCUCAUUUUCAUUGGGGGUUUACAUUUUAUGCCCUCCUUAUGUUCCUUAGAGAUCAGUUUUUGCUCAAAAUUCACAUCCUGGUUGAGCAAGGGAAUGGAGCAGGCAGCAUUGCUACAUAAGCUAGCUUAUAUCUAUAUAGAAAGUUGCCCAAAACUGGAAUCUCUGCCUAUUUGGUUACCUCAUCUCCCUGCUCUGGAGAAACUGGAAAUCGCUAAUUGCUCUUUGAUUCAGUCAUUGCCAGAGAAUGGCUUACCUUCUUCUCUUAAAUCAUUGCACAUCAAAAAAUGUGACCAAAGGUUCACCCAACGGUGCCAAGAAGAGGGUUCUCACGAAUGGCUCAUGAUCCAGCACGUACCUGAUCGGAAAUUUACAUAAAAAUGAUUGACAUAUAUGCUUCAAAUUUCUGCUUCCAUUUGUUGGUAUGAAUGGAAAUUCAAGGAAGUGCUCUUCCCACGUUAGCACCAGUUAGAAAGGACUUCAUGGGUUUCUAACUUUUAAUACUCAUUAUCUGCGAGUAAUAUCCAUUUUCUUUGCUUCAUUCAACCAAAUCUGUCUGGUGAUAUCAUCUUUUUUGAUUUGUGCCCCUGAAUGCACAUGACUUUUGGUUUAAGUUUUAAACUUCGAACUGCUAUUCUUGUCCUUUGGGCUUAUAUUGAUGCAGCUAUCAUUCGUUCAAAUGAGAUCUGAAUCAUUUGCUAUGACCAAUAUUGUUGUAACUAAUUUCGAUGAGACACAAAAACUUCCUCUAAAUUUCUGGGUUUCAAUUUCUGAUUUUCUGGUUGUAUCUAUGGUGCACGUUUGGUUGAACAGUUUCCAAGGUCCAAUAUGACGAUGUUUGUGUGUUGUAAGAGCUCAUCAA